GUGCGAGACCGAUAGCGAACAAGUACCGUGAGGAAAAGAUGAAAAGAACUUUGAAAAGAGAGUUAAAGAGUACCUGAAACUGCUGAAAGGGAAGCGAAUCGUAUCCAGUGUCUAUAAUCUGCGGCAUAUUUCAUUGGCGGCGGUGCGCGUGCUUUUGCGUCGGAAGCGGCUUUUGUUGCUCUGUGCUUUUGCUGUGCGUGGUGUUGCUGGUGCCCUGUGUUGCGGUGGGACGUCAGAGUCAGUUUGUAUGCUGCGGGAAAUGGCUGCCGAGGAGGUAGGUCAGGACUUCGGUCUUGGCUGUUAUAUCUUGGUGGUUUGUUGUCGUGGUUGGGACUGAGGUGCCUACAAUGUGCUUUUGAGUGUGCCGGGUUCUCAUUUGGUGGACUGUUUGGAUAGCUUGCUAUGCUUGUGGUUUUUUCAUCGAGUGAUUGAGUCUGGUGGUAACUUGUUGCUGUUCGGGACUUUGA
RNAcentral lists this ribosomal RNA (467 nucleotides) under uncultured Oomycota. RNAcentral describes it as "LSU rRNA". The stretch from base 1 to 83 matches the Rfam family "Bacterial large subunit ribosomal RNA", at positions 476 to 559 of the family's 2925-position model. The record is from RNAcentral. Lineage: Eukaryota; Oomycota.